UACAGAGGUCCCAAGCGUUGUUCGGAAUUACUGGGCGUAAAGCGCGUGUAGGCGGCUGGGCAAGUCGGAUGUGAAAGCCCUGGGCUUAACCUAGGAAGUGCACUCGAAACUGCCGAGCUGGAGUUCUGGAGAGGAAGGCGGAAUUCUCGGUGUAGAGGUGAAAUUCGUAGAUAUCGAGAGGAACACCGGUGGCGAAGGCGGCCUUCUGGACAGAAACUGACGCUGAGACGCGAAAGCGUGGGGAGCAAACAGG
Molecule: ribosomal RNA, 253 nt
Filed under: uncultured bacterium
Lineage: Bacteria
Description: partial 16S ribosomal RNA
Rfam family: Bacterial small subunit ribosomal RNA
Source: RNAcentral